This 72-nucleotide transfer RNA is filed under the name Mesocricetus auratus (golden hamster). It matches the Rfam family "tRNA". From Rfam's summary of the family: Transfer RNA (tRNA) molecules are approximately 80 nucleotides in length. The record is from Rfam by way of RNAcentral. Lineage: Eukaryota; Metazoa; Chordata; Mammalia; Rodentia; Cricetidae.
GAGAAUGUAGCUCAGUGGUAAAGUACUUGCCCAGCAUGUACAAGGUCCUGGGUUCAAUUCCCAGCACGCACA